Molecule: long non-coding RNA, 591 nt
Filed under: Vigna radiata
Lineage: Eukaryota; Viridiplantae; Streptophyta; Magnoliopsida; Fabales; Fabaceae
Description: long non-coding RNA (VRAD_LNC018552)
Source: RNAcentral
GAUUAUAUGAAGUGAUAAUUAAUUAUUCAAGUAUGACUUGUGAUAAUCGAUUAUUGCUUCAUGAUAAUCGAUUAUUCUAGUACAAAAACAUGUGAUAAUCGAUUAUAGCUUGACCAUAAUCGAUUAUAUUAGUAAGAAUUACAAUAUUACAAUAUUUUCCUACUACAUUAAAAACCUACAAGUUGCUUUUUAAAUAUUUUCCUAUUAUAUUCAAAAUCUACAAGUUGCAGCAUCAUCAAAACUCAUCUUCAGGUUUUACCUAUACUCCCUUAUUGGUAACAAUCUCCCCCUUUUUGAUGAUGAUCAAAAAUUCUCUUUUUAAAAGCAACGCAGGUUUACCUGCAACACAUACAAACUAAAAAACAGCCACAGAGUUAGCAGUACCUGUACAAUUGAAAAAUAUUUCUCUCCUUAAUUCUCCCUUAAUAUUUCUUCUCCCCCUUUUUGAUCAUAAGCAAAAAAAUAAUGUAAAAAUCUCCCCCUUAAUAUGAGCUCCCCCUCAAAAAUAUAAUAUAUGCAUAAAAUUGUCAUAAAAGCUCAAUAUAUUAAGAACAGAAGGAAAUUACAUGAAAUGCAUAAAGAUCAAGUCUA